GCCCGAUAGUGGGGGAUAACCUGGGGAAACCCAGGCUAAUACCGCAUACGUCCUACGGGAGAAAGGGGGCUCCGGCUCCCGCUAUGGGAUGAGCCUAUGUCGGAUUAGCUAGUUGGUGAGGUAACGGCUCACCAAGGCCACGAUCCGUAGCUGGUCUGAGAGGAUGAUCAGCCACAUCGGGACUGAGACACGGCCCGAACUCCUACGGGAGGCAGCAGUGGGGAAUAUUGGACAAUGGGGGAAACCCUGAUCCAGCCAUGCCGCGUGUGUGAAGAAGGCCCUCGGGUUGUAAAGCACUUUCAGCGAGGAAGAACGCCUAGCGGUUAAUACCCGCUAGGAAAGACAUCACUCCAGAAGAAGCACCGGCUAACUCCGUGCCAGCAGCCGCGGUAAUACGGAGGGUGCAAGCGUUAAUCGGAAUUACUGGGCGUAAAGCGCGCGUAGGUGGGCUUGAUAAGCCCG
This 462-nucleotide ribosomal RNA is filed under the name uncultured bacterium. Its description in RNAcentral is "bacterial SSU rRNA". It matches the Rfam family "Bacterial small subunit ribosomal RNA", at positions 128 to 591 of the family's 1533-position model. The record is from RNAcentral.